Molecule: long non-coding RNA, 695 nt
Filed under: Homo sapiens (human)
Lineage: Eukaryota; Metazoa; Chordata; Mammalia; Primates; Hominidae
Description: non-protein coding TUG1:41
Rfam family: Taurine upregulated gene 1 conserved region 2 (bases 204-290)
Source: RNAcentral
GACGCAGCCGGGACGGUAGCUGCGGUGCGGACCGGAGGAGCCAUCUUGUCUCGUCGCCGGGGAGUCAGGCCCCUAAAUCGAAGAAGCCCUGGCGCGCCCUCCCCCCCUCCCGGGUCUGGUAGGGCGAAGGAACGGGCGUGCGGUCGAUCGAGCGAUCGGGCAGAGACAGAUAAUCUCACUUCCAGAGAAAUGACUUGGAGAAAAAAAAGUGUUGGUCUUUUUGCUCUUUUGUAAUUAAAUCCGGAUGUACCUCAAAAGACUUAAGACUGUGGUGAUAAGAUGCUUUCCUCAGCAGAAAGGAGGGAAAAAAAACAACUGGAACUCAAAGCUUGAAAUUCUGUGGCAAAACAUGAGAUGUCCAGGAUUGGAGGUUGAAAAGAUUUCACUACAGUGUUCUGCAAUAGUUGGAGCAGAUAACUUUCAGUGUAGCCACAGCCAUGGACUCCAGAUUUCCAGAUUUUCAAGACCUGGACCUGGAACCCGAAAGAGCUUGUCACGAUGCGGCAGGAACACUGGAGGUAGAUUUUUUUUUAUUUUUGAAUUUUGGGACUGUUGACCUUGCUGUGAGAAAAGAGACAACGACUGAGCAAGCACUACCACCAGCACUGUUACUGGGAAUUAGAAGACCUGAGUUUCUGUCCAGACCCUCAGUGCAAACUGAGGAUGCUCCAUCCAAAGUGAAUUAUGACCUGGUA